AUACUUACCUGGUACGGGAGGCACCAUGAUCAGCAAGGCGGUCCUCCCAGGGUGAGGCCUUUCCAUUGCACUACUCGGAUUGGCUGACCCCUGCGAUCGCCCCAAAUGUGGGCGACUCGAGUACGUAAUUUUUUAGUGUGGGGGACUGCGUUCGCGCUAUCCCCUG
This 166-nucleotide small nuclear RNA is filed under the name Lottia gigantea (owl limpet). RNAcentral's name for it is "U1 spliceosomal RNA". It matches the Rfam family "U1 spliceosomal RNA". From Rfam's summary of the family: U1 is a small nuclear RNA (snRNA) component of the spliceosome (involved in pre-mRNA splicing). The record is from Rfam by way of RNAcentral. Lineage: Eukaryota; Metazoa; Mollusca; Gastropoda; Lottiidae.